Molecule: ribosomal RNA, 582 nt
Filed under: uncultured Flavobacteriales bacterium
Lineage: Bacteria; Pseudomonadati; Bacteroidota; Flavobacteriia; Flavobacteriales
Description: bacterial SSU rRNA
Rfam family: Bacterial small subunit ribosomal RNA
Source: RNAcentral
CCUACGGGAGGCAGCAGUGAGGAAUAUUGGACAAUGGACGAAAGUCUGAUCCAGCUAUGCCGCGUGCAGGAUGACGGCCCUAUGGGUUGUAAACUGCUUUUAUACAGGAAGAAAAAAUCCGACGUGUCGGAUCUUGACGGUACUGUAAGAAUAAGGAUCGGCUAACUCCGUGCCAGCAGCCGCGGUAAUACGGAGGAUCCAAGCGUUAUCCGGAAUCAUUGGGUUUAAAGGGUCCGCAGGCGGUUUUUUAAGUCAGAGGUGAAAUCCUACAGCUCAACUGUAGAAUUGCCUUUGAUACUGAAAGACUUGAGUUAUUGUGAAGUGGUUAGAAUGUGUGGUGUAGCGGUGAAAUGCAUAGAUAUCACACAGAAUACCAAUUGCGAAGGCAGAUCACUAACAAUUAACUGACGCUCAGGGACGAAAGCGUGGGUAGCGAACAGGAUUAGAUACCCUGGUAGUCCACGCCGUAAACGAUGGAUACUAGCUGUAUGUCUACUUCAGGUAGAUGUGUGGCCAAGCGAAAGUGAUAAGUAUCCCACCUGGGGAGUACGAUCGCAAGAUUGAAACUCAAAGGAAUGACGG